UUGAACGCUAGCGGCAGGCUUAACACAUGCAAGUCGAGGGGUAUUGGUUUCGGACCAAGAGACCGGCGCACGGGUGCGUAACGCGUAUGCAAUCUACCUUUGCAGAGGGAUAGCCCAGAGAAAUUUGGAUUAAUACCUCAUAGUAUAGUACUUUGGCAUCAAGGAACUAUUAAAGUCACAACGGCAAAAGAUGAGCAUGCGUCCCAUUAGCUAGUUGGUGAGGUAAUGGCUCACCAAGGCGACGAUCUCUAGCUGGUUUGAGAGGAUGAUCAGCCACACUGGAACUGAGACACGGUCCAGACUCCUACGGGAGGCAGCAGUGGGGAAUAUUGGACAAUGGGCGCAAGCCUGAUCCAGCCAUGCCGCGUGUGUGAAGAAGGUCUUCGGAUUGUAAAGCACUUUAAGUUGGGAGGAAGGGUAGUAACCUAAUACGUUGCUACUUUGACGUUACCGACAGAAUAAGCACCGGCUAACUCCGUG
This 480-nucleotide ribosomal RNA is filed under the name uncultured bacterium. Its description in RNAcentral is "bacterial SSU rRNA". It matches the Rfam family "Bacterial small subunit ribosomal RNA", at positions 30 to 507 of the family's 1533-position model. The record is from RNAcentral.